UGUGGUAUUUUGACUAUACAAAGGUAUUGUAAUAAGAUUUUAAUUGAAUGCUAAAAGAAUGGAUUAACAGAUAAAUACUUUCUUUAAUUUAAAAAUUAAAUUUAUUAUUUUUUGUGCAGAAACAAAAAUAAAAAUUAAGGACAAGAAGACCCUAAGAAUUUUAAUUUGAUUUAAAUAAUUUAUAUUUCUUAAUCAAAUUUAAUUGGGGCGAUUGAAAAAUAUUUUUAACUUUUUUUUAAAAAAAAUAUGAACCAUUAAUAAUGGUAAUAUGAAAAAAUACUCUAGGGAUAACAGCGUAAUAAUUUUUGAUAGUUCAUAUAGACAAAAUAGUUUGCGACCUCGAUGUUGGAUUAGGAUUCUAAUUUAAUGAAGAAGUUAAAUUAAGAAGUUUGUUCAACUUUUAAAUUCCUACUUGAUCUG
RNAcentral lists this ribosomal RNA (420 nucleotides) under Amblyomma javanense. RNAcentral's name for it is "partial large subunit ribosomal RNA". The stretch from base 287 to 420 matches the Rfam family "Archaeal large subunit ribosomal RNA", at positions 2542 to 2676 of the family's 2987-position model. The record is from RNAcentral. Lineage: Eukaryota; Metazoa; Arthropoda; Arachnida; Ixodida; Ixodidae.